Molecule: ribosomal RNA, 414 nt
Filed under: Fusobacterium necrophorum
Lineage: Bacteria; Fusobacteriati; Fusobacteriota; Fusobacteriia; Fusobacteriales; Fusobacteriaceae
Description: bacterial SSU rRNA
Rfam family: Bacterial small subunit ribosomal RNA
Source: RNAcentral
CAUCCUUCAGUUGGGGACUCAUGCGAUACUGCCUGCGACGAGCAGGAGGAAGGUGGGGAUGACGUCAAGUCAUCAUGCCCCUUAUACGCUGGGCUACACACGUGCUACAAUGGGUAGUACAGAGAGCGGCAAACCCGCGAGGGGGAGCAAAUCUCAGAAAACUAUUCUUAGUUCGGAUUGUACUCUGCAACUCGAGUACAUGAAGUUGGAAUCGCUAGUAAUCGCAAAUCAGCAAUGUUGCGGUGAAUACGUUCUCGGGUCUUGUACACACCGCCCGUCACACCACGAGAGUUGGUUGCACCUGAAGUAGCAGGCCUAACCUUAGGGAAGGAUGCUCCGAGGGUGUGGUUAGCGAUUGGGGUGAAGUCGUAACAAGGUAUCCGUACGGGAACGUGCGGAUGGAUCACCUCCUUU